CUGGCUCUGAAUCAAGGCUGUUAGCUUCCUGACGCUGUUGGUUUCAAGUAGGAGCCUAAAGAGAUAUUUUCUAUGAUCUGUUGGCCAUCUCAGAACUUGGGCAGUGAAAUGGUCAAUUCAUUAGAAAGAAAGUUUG
Molecule: small nucleolar RNA, 136 nt
Organism: Cavia aperea (Brazilian guinea pig)
Lineage: Eukaryota; Metazoa; Chordata; Mammalia; Rodentia; Caviidae
Source: Ensembl